This 444-nucleotide ribosomal RNA is filed under the name uncultured freshwater eukaryote. RNAcentral describes it as "SSU rRNA". It matches the Rfam family "Eukaryotic small subunit ribosomal RNA", at positions 101 to 555 of the family's 1831-position model. The record is from RNAcentral.
UUAAAACAGUUAUAGUUUAUUUGAUAAUUGAAUUAUACAUGGAUAUCCGUGGUAAUUCUAGAGUUAAUACAUGCAUUAAAACCUGAUUUAAGGGUUGUAUUUAUUAGAUAUCAAACCAAUAUUCCUUCUGGUCUAUUGUGAUGAUUCAUAGUAACUGAUCGAAGCUUAGCUAGUCUAAGCUAAAUCAUUCAAGUUUCUGCCCUAUCAGCUUUCGAUGGUAGUGUAUUGGACUACCAUGGCAGUCACGGGUAACGGGGAAUUAGGGUUCGAUUCCGGAGAGGGAGCCUGAGAAACGGCUACCACAUCUAAGGAAGGCAGCAGGCGCGUAAAUUACCCAAUCCUGACUCAGGGAGGUAGUGACAAGAAAUAACAACUCGGGGCCUCACGGCUUACGAGAUUGCAAUGAGAACAAUUUAAACCACUUAUCUAGGAACAAUUGGAGGG